GCCAUUCUAUAUUUUAAAUGCCAGUUUUAAAUACAAAUAUCAUAGUAUUCACACACGGAAUUACACAAUACAGAAAUCACACAAUUUGUGAGUUAUGAUUUGCUCCGGGGGUGUCUUGAACUGUCCAGAAGAGGCAAACGCUAGAGAGACAGAGGAAGAUGAUAAAGAGGAAAGGAGCCCUCCCAAUCCACCCCCAAGCUCAGAGCCGGAGUACGCGGCGCUCCAGGGGCCAGCGGACACUCUCCUGGACGGCCCCGCAGGGCGCAUCCCUCCCGCAGGCAGGCAGCGAAGAAGGCCGGCGCCGGGCUGCUGGGUCCGGCUCCUGCCAGCUGCUGACCGCGGCGCCGCGUCCUCGCCGGGCGAAGCCUAGCGACUUCAGGUCAGGUGUCUCUCCUUCCCUAGGGCCCGCCGCCCACACCGGGGCAGAAAAGCGACUCCCAAUGGUAUGGAGACCUUCGCAUCGGUCCAGCUCUCGCCCCUGGACCCGGGGGUGAGCAAACUCCAGGCCACGGGAGCGAAACGUACAACUUGAUUUGUCAUCAGGAUGAUACUGUCAUGCCUCUGCUGUUGUCCAGAAGGUAGUCUUUUUUGAGUCCUACUGCUAGGCACAGUGGGUUUCCCAGGUGGCCAGGUGGCGUAGUGGUGAAGAAUCUGCCUGUCAGUGUGGGGGCACAAGAGACAUGGGUUUGAUCUCUGGGUCGGGAAGAUCCCCUGGAGUAGCAAAUGGCAGUCCUUUCUAGUAUUCUUGCCUGGAGAAUUCCAUGGACAGAGCCUGCAGGGUUACAGUCCAUGGAUUCAAAAAGAGUAGAACAUGACUUAGCGACUGAGGAUGCAUACAUGCUAAGCUAAGCAUCUGAAGUUUUUUAAGAUUAAAGAUCAUUUGAAAUGCUGCGAGGCAUGUGGGAUCCUAGCUCCAUGACCAGGGAUCGAACCCACACCCCCUGCACUGGAAGGCUAAGCCAAUGCUGGACUGCCAGGGAAGACUCUGCUGUUUCUUAUAAAGCUAAAGGGAC
Long non-coding RNA from Bos taurus (domestic cattle), 1013 nucleotides. NCBI's taxonomy places the organism in Eukaryota, Metazoa, Chordata, Mammalia, Artiodactyla, Bovidae. The record is from Ensembl.